UGCCCGAUAAGACCACGACCCGGGAGGGUUGCGGGAAAAGGCGGGGUAGCAAUAUCUCGCGUCUGUGGGUGAGCCUGCGGCCUAUCAGCUAGUUGGCAGGGUAAAAGCCUACCAAGGCGAAGACGGGUAGCCGGCCUGAGAGGGUGAACGGCCACACUGGGACUGAGACACGGCCCAGACUCCUACGGGAGGCAGCAGUGAGGAAUUUUCCGCAAUGGGCGCAAGCCUGACGGAGCGACGCCGCGUGAGGGAUGAAGGCUUUCGGGUUGUAAACCUCUUUUGUGGGGGAAAAAGGUUUUCAUGCUCAUACCAUGAGAACUUGAUGGUACUCCAUGAAUAAGCCCCGGCUAACUACGUGCCAGCAGCCGCGGUAAUACGUAGGGGGCGAGCGUUGUCCGGAGUUACUGGGCGUAAAGGGCGUGUAGGCGGUUGGAUAAGUCUGGUGUGAAAUCCCAUGGCUCAACCAUGGAACUGCACUGGAAACUGUCUGACUGGAGUUC
This 500-nucleotide ribosomal RNA is filed under the name uncultured bacterium. Its description in RNAcentral is "bacterial SSU rRNA". It matches the Rfam family "Bacterial small subunit ribosomal RNA", at positions 167 to 649 of the family's 1533-position model. The record is from RNAcentral.